UUCUCUCUUUUUUAGCAAUGCACCACUCUCUACUGUCCUUAUAUAUUAUUUUAUAUUCUGCGUCUCCAUCCAGAUUCUCGUGUAUACCAUGAGGGUCCGGAUUGGGGGUGUUGUUUAUUUCUGUAUUCUUUAAUUUAUUAUGCCACUUUUCUCUACAUUUUAUUUAUCUUACUCAUUAUUCUUUCUCUAUUCUUUAUAUUCUAGCUUCCCAAUAUACUUUACUUACUGAUGUUUAGUUACAUUACGACGUUUAUCUCUGAUUUAUAUACUUGUUACUAAUGUAGAUGACUU
RNAcentral lists this long non-coding RNA (291 nucleotides) under Mytilus galloprovincialis (Mediterranean mussel). Lineage: Eukaryota; Metazoa; Mollusca; Bivalvia; Mytilida; Mytilidae. The record is from RNAcentral.